GCCUUCAUAGUGUAGGGGUUAGCACACUCGACGCGUAUUCGAGAGGUACGUGGUUCGAGUCCAGGCGAGGGCA
This 73-nucleotide transfer RNA is filed under the name Stegodyphus mimosarum. It matches the Rfam family "tRNA". Rfam says of the family: Transfer RNA (tRNA) molecules are approximately 80 nucleotides in length. Their secondary structure includes four short double-helical elements and three loops (D, anti-codon, and T loops). The record is from Rfam by way of RNAcentral. Lineage: Eukaryota; Metazoa; Arthropoda; Arachnida; Araneae; Eresidae.